GGUUAAGUUAGAAAGGGCGCACGGUGGAUGCCUUGGCACUAGGAGCCGAUGAAGGACGGGACGAACACCGAUAUGCUUCGGGGAGCUGUAAGCAAGCUUUGAUCCGGAGAUUUCCGAAUGGGGAAACCCACCACUCGUAAUGGAGUGGUAUCCAUAUCUGAAUACAUAGGAUAUGAGAAGGCAGACCCGGGGAACUGAAACAUCUAAGUACCCGGAGGAAGAGAAAGCAAAUGCGAUUCCCUGAGUAGCGGCGAGCGAAACGGGACCAGCCCAAACCAAGAGGCUUGCCUCUUGGGGUUGUAGGACACUCUGUACGGAGUUACAAAGGAACGAGGUAGAUGAAGAGGUCUGGAAAGGCCCGCCAUAGGAGGUAACAGCCCUGUAGUCAAAACUUCGUUCUCUCCUGAGUGGAUCCUGAGUACGGCGGAACACGUGAAAUUCCGUCGGAAUCCGGGAGGACCAUCUCCCAAGGCUAAAUACUCCCUAGUGACCGAUAGUGAACCAGUACCGUGAGGGAAAGGUGAAAAGCACCCCGGAAGGGGAGUGAAAGAGAUCCUGAAACCGUGUGCCUACAAGUAGUCAGAGCCCGUUAACGGGUGAUGGCGUGCCUUUUGUAGAAUGAACCGGCGAGUUACGAUCCCGUGCAAGGUUAAGCAGAAGAUGCGGAGCCGCAGCGAAAGCGAGUCUGAAUAGGGCGAAUUGAGUACGUGGUCGUAGACCCGAAACCAGGUGAUCUACCCAUGUCCAGGGUGAAGUUCAGGUAACACUGAAUGGAGGCCCGAACCCACGCACGUUGAAAAGUGCGGGGAUGAGGUGUGGGUAGGGGUGAAAUGCCAAUCGAACCUGGAGAUAGCUGGUUCUCUCCGAAAUAGCUUUAGGGCUAGCCUCAAGGUAAGAGUCUCGGAGGUAGAGCACUGAUUGGACUAGGGGCCCCUACCGGGUUACCGAAUUCAGUCAAACUCCGAAUGCCGAUGACUUAUCCUUGGGAGUCAGACUGCGAGUGAUAAGAUCCGUAGUCGAAAGGGAAACAGCCCAGACCGCCAGCUAAGGUCCCAAAGUAUACGUUAAGUGGAAAAGGAUGUGGAGUUGCUUAGACAACCAGGAUGUUGGCUUAGAAGCAGCCACCAUUUAAAGAGUGCGUAAUAGCUCACUGGUCGAGUGACUCUGCGCCGAAAAUGUACCGGGGCUAAACGUAUCACCGAAGCUGCGGACUGUUCUUCGAACAGUGGUAGGAGAGCGUUCUAAGGGCUGUGAAGCAAGACCGGAAGGACUUGUGGAGCGCUUAGAAGUGAGAAUGCCGGUAUGAGUAGCGAAAGAGGGGUGAGAAUCCCCUCCACCGAAUGCCUAAGGUUUUCCUGAGGAAGGCUCGUCCGCUCAGGGUUAGUCGGGACCUAAGCCGAGGCCGAAAGGCGUAGGCGAUGGAUAACAGGUUGAUAUUCCUGUACCACCUCCUCACCAUUUGAGCAAUGGGGGGACGCAGGAGGAUAGGGUAAGCGCGGUAUUGGAUAUCCGCGUCCAAGCAGUUAGGCUGGGAAAUAGGCAAAUCCGUUUCCCGUGAAGGCUGAGCUGUGAUGGCGAGCGAAUUAUAGUAGCGAAGUUCCUGAUUCCACACUGCCAAGAAAAGCCUCUAGCGAGGUGAGAGGUGCCCGUACCGCAAACCGACACAGGUAGGCGAGGAGAGAAUCCUAAGGUGAUCGAGAGAACUCUCGUUAAGGAACUCGGCAAAAUGACCCCGUAACUUCGGGAGAAGGGGUGCUCUGUUAGGGUGCAAGCCCGAGAGAGCCGCAGUGAAUAGGCCCAGGCGACUGUUUAGCAAAAACACAGGUCUCUGCGAAGCCGUAAGGCGAAGUAUAGGGGCUGACGCCUGCCCGGUGCUGGAAGGUUAAGAGGAGCGCUUAGCGUAAGCGAAGGUGCGAAUUGAAGCCCCAGUAAACGGCGGCCGUAACUAUAACGGUCCUAAGGUAGCGAAAUUCCUUGUCGGGUAAGUUCCGACCCGCACGAAAGGCGCAACGAUCUGGGCACUGUCUCAACGAGAGACUCGGUGAAAUUAUAGUACCUGUGAAGAUGCAGGUUACCCGCGACAGGACGGAAAGACCCCGUGGAGCUUUACUGCAGCCUGAUAUUGAAUGUUGGUACAGCUUGUACAGGAUAGGUAGGAGCCUUGGAAACCGGAGCGCCAGCUUCGGUGGAGGCAUCGGUGGGAUACUACCCUGGCUGUAUUGACCUUCUAACCCGCCGCCCUUAUCGGGCGGGGAGACAGUGUCAGGUGGGCAGUUUGACUGGGGCGGUCGCCUCCUAAAAGGUAACGGAGGCGCCCAAAGGUUCCCUCAGAAUGGUUGGAAAUCAUUCGCAGAGUGUAAAGGCACAAGGGAGCUUGACUGCGAGACCUACAAGUCGAGCAGGGACGAAAGUCGGGCUUAGUGAUCCGGUGGUUCCGCAUGGAAGGGCCAUCGCUCAACGGAUAAAAGCUACCCCGGGGAUAACAGGCUUAUCUCCCCCAAGAGUCCACAUCGACGGGGAGGUUUGGCACCUCGAUGUCGGCUCAUCGCAUCCUGGGGCUGUAGUCGGUCCCAAGGGUUGGGCUGUUCGCCCAUUAAAGCGGUACGCGAGCUGGGUUCAGAACGUCGUGAGACAGUUCGGUCCCUAUCCGUCGCGGGCGCAGGAAAUUUGAGAGGAGCUGUCCUUAGUACGAGAGGACCGGGAUGGACGCACCGCUGGUGUACCAGUUGUUCUGCCAAGGGCAUCGCUGGGUAGCUAUGUGCGGACGGGAUAAGUGCUGAAAGCAUCUAAGCAUGAAGCCCCCCUCAAGAUGAGAUUUCCCAUUCCGCAAGGAAGUAAGAUCCCUGAAAGAUGAUCAGGUUGAUAGGUCUGAGGUGGAAGUGUGGCGACACAUGGAGCUGACAGAUACUAAUCGAUCGAGGACUUAACCAA
RNAcentral lists this ribosomal RNA (2931 nucleotides) under Bacillus velezensis. RNAcentral's name for it is "23S ribosomal RNA". It matches the Rfam family "Bacterial large subunit ribosomal RNA". The record is from RNAcentral. Lineage: Bacteria; Bacillati; Bacillota; Bacilli; Caryophanales; Bacillaceae.